Paramormyrops kingsleyae is the source of this 515-nucleotide long non-coding RNA. RefSeq lists it as uncharacterized. The record is from RefSeq and is a predicted model, not a curated record. NCBI's taxonomy places the organism in Eukaryota, Metazoa, Chordata, Actinopteri, Osteoglossiformes, Mormyridae.
GGUGAACCGAUUGCCCUUAGCAGGCUUCUGGCCUCUCUGCGACCCUGAUCAGGAUAAGCAGGUUGAAGACGGAUGGAUUGAUGGAGGGAUAGAUGGAUGAGUGGACAGACAGAUGUGUCUAAUUGCACUGGCAUCCUGUCCGGAGUGUACCCCUGCAUGAUGGCCUGUGCAUCCUGGGACUCCAGAUGGAUGGAUGGAUUGUGGUUAGAAAUUGUACUGCGGUACAUGACUUAAAGCAUUUCCUCACAUGGAAGUCAUGGAAUGGGAAGAGGGGGACGGAGCCAUGAUGUAGGAGCACCGCACGGUCAUCUUAAGUGCUGCCUCUGAUCUCCGCGAACAUGAGAGGCAGGGGUGUACCGCCUCUGCAUCUUAACAAUGCCUGGGAACAAGAACGGCCUUCCUUUGGCUAUGCGUCGAGGGGUGAAAUCAAUAGCCGCAUAUGUAAGUAAGGCAGCCUAGCGAACUGGAAGGGCGAUAAACCCGUGGGCCCAAGGUGUGCAGAAGUGGACGUGUAA